This 463-nucleotide ribosomal RNA is filed under the name uncultured bacterium. Its description in RNAcentral is "partial 16S ribosomal RNA". It matches the Rfam family "Bacterial small subunit ribosomal RNA", at positions 28 to 507 of the family's 1533-position model. The record is from RNAcentral.
GAUGAACGCUGACAGAAUGCUUAACACAUGCAAGUCUUUGGCGAAGCUGUGCUUGCACAGCCUAGCCAAGGCGGACGGGUGAGUAACGCGUCAGGAACUUGCCCUGCAGUCAGGGAUAACAGACGGAAACGACUGAUAAGACCUGGUAAAGUCAGGCGGACUCAUGUCCAGCCUGAUGAAAAGUGAUGCUGCAGGAGAGCCUUGCGUCCUAUUAGCUUGUUGGUGGGGUAACGGCCCACCAAGGCGAUGAUAGGUAGCCGGCCUGAGAGGGUGGACGGCCACAAGGGGACUGAGAUACGGCCCUUACUCCUACGGGAGGCAGCAGUGGGGAAUAUUGGACAAUGGGGGCAACCCUGAUCCAGCAAUUCUGUGUGCACGAUGAAGGUUUUCGGAUUGUAAAGUGCUUUCAGCAGGGAAGAAAAAAAUGACGGUACCUGCAGAAGAAGCGACGGCUAAAUACGUG